This 429-nucleotide ribosomal RNA is filed under the name Acidobacteriota bacterium. RNAcentral describes it as "Acidobacteria bacterium partial 16S ribosomal RNA". It matches the Rfam family "Bacterial small subunit ribosomal RNA", at positions 355 to 776 of the family's 1533-position model. Lineage: Bacteria; Pseudomonadati; Acidobacteriota. The record is from RNAcentral.
UAGGGAAUAUUGGACAAUGGGCGCAAGCCUGAUCCAGCCAUGCCGCGUGAGUGAAGAAGGCCCUCGGGUUGUAAAGCUCUUUUGUCCGGAAAGAAAAGCUUUGGGUUAAUACCCCGAAGUCCUGACGGUACCGGAAGAAUAAGCACCGGCUAACUUCGUGCCAGCAGCCGCGGUAAUACGAAGGGUGCAAGCGUUACUCGGAAUUACUGGGCGUAAAGCGUGCGUAGGUGGUUCGUUAAGUCUGAUGUGAAAGCCCUGGGCUCAACCUGGGAAUGGCAUUGGAUACUGGCGGGCUAGAGUGCGGUAGAGGGCAGUGGAAUUCCCGGUGUAGCAGUGAAAUGCGUAGAGAGCGGGAGGAACAUCUGUGGCGAAGGCGACUGCCUGGACCAGCACUGACACUGAGGCACGAAAGCGUGGGGAGCAAACAGG